AUCGAACGCUGGCGGCAUGCCUUACACAUGCAAGUCGAACGGCAGCACGGGUGCUUGCACCUGGUGGCGAGUGGCGAACGGGUGAGUAAUACAUCGGAACAUGUCCUGUAGUGGGGGAUAGCCCGGCGAAAGCCGGAUUAAUACCGCAUACGAUCUACGGAUGAAAGCGGGGGACCUUCGGGCCUCGCGCUAUAGGGUUGGCCGAUGGCUGAUUAGCUAGUUGGUGGGGUAAAGGCCUACCAAGGCGACGAUCAGUAGCUGGUCUGAGAGGACGACCAGCCACACUGGGACUGAGACACGGCCCAGACUCCUACGGGAGGCAGCAGUGGGGAAUUUUGGACAAUGGGCGAAAGCCUGAUCCAGCAAUGCCGCGUGUGUGAAGAAGGCCUUCGGGUUGUAAAGCACUUUUGUCCGGAAAGAAAUCCUUGGCCCUAAUACGGUCGGGGGAUGACGGUACCGGAAGAAUAAGCACCGGCUAACUACGUG
This 486-nucleotide ribosomal RNA is filed under the name uncultured bacterium. Its description in RNAcentral is "partial 16S ribosomal RNA". It matches the Rfam family "Bacterial small subunit ribosomal RNA", at positions 30 to 507 of the family's 1533-position model. The record is from RNAcentral.